UACGGAGGGAGCUAGCGUUGUUCGGAAUUACUGGGCGUAAAGCGCACGUAGGCGGCGCAUCAAGUCAGGGGUGAAAUCCCGGGGCUCAACCCCGGAACUGCCUUUGAAACUGCAGUGCUAGAAUCUUGGAGAGGCGAGUGGAAUUCCGAGUGUAGAGGUGAAAUUCGUAGAUAUCGAGAGGAACACCGGUGGCGAAGGCGGCGAUCUGGACGAUGACUGACGCUGAGGCGCGAAAGCGUGGGGAGCAAACAGG
Molecule: ribosomal RNA, 253 nt
Filed under: uncultured bacterium
Lineage: Bacteria
Description: partial 16S ribosomal RNA
Rfam family: Bacterial small subunit ribosomal RNA
Source: RNAcentral